UCCCAAGUCUCAGCUGGUAUGCCAGGGCCAUUCGCACUUCCUGCUUGAAUAACAAAGUCUGCCCUGCAAUCCAGUGUCUCCCCUUCCACCCAAUGGCUGCUUCUAAAUUAGAGCCUCUAGAAAAAUAUGUACCAAUUAGCACGGGCUACUUGACAUCUAAGCAUCACAGAUGCCAUAGGUUGGUUGGUUGGGUCUUUUUCCCUUUGUUUUAUUUAUUUAUUUUUUUCUCAGUAUAAUGAGUAGCUCCACCUUCACUUGCCACAGUAUGUGAAACUGGGAUGAGAGAAGACACACUCAGAAGACAGGGGAUGGAUGGCUGGCCCUAACUUCCCUCCCACUCUAGGUAACACAGCUGCAGCUCAGGAAUUUCAGGCAGGAUGCUUGGCAUAAGUAGGUAAUUGAGUUAAGGGAGAUCUAAAGAAAGACUUCACGUUCACAUUCAUAUGCUAAACUCAGUUAAAAAUAGACUUAAGAAGGCCCUGACUUCACUUUUAAUUUUAGCCUGGUGAUGAACAUGCCCUAAAGACAGAAAGUCACCAGGCAUUUUCCUAGGUGCUGUGAUCUUCAUAUUUUUAUAAAAAGGAAAUGCAGCAUGUUCUAUUAAUAAAAGUGCUGUAGCCUCAGUUAAAUCUGGACAGUUCGUAAAUCAGGAAUCCCUCUGGCUGAGCUUCCCUGGGCCAGCGGCUAGCUCACACACAAGCCCCCAGCAAGUGGGCAGGUCACCUGCAGUGGGGGACAGUGAGCCAGAUACCCAGGGGUCAAAGGCCACCCUGGACCAAGGGCCACAAAGUAUGACUCCUGGAUACUUCCCAAGUGACCAAGUGACUCACCAUGCACAUUCACCAGAAACUCUUAAAGGGCUCAUGAAAGAUCCAACUGUCAGGAUGGAGCUGUGUGUGUCAUGAUAGAAGGAGGAAAACAGUCUCAAAGGUGAAGUUAACGUUGGCCUCCAGCUACCUGGCUGGACUUUGCUAUGGACCCACCAAAAGAGGAUGUUCUCCAGCUGCCCUCAACUAUCAAACCACAUAACAAAAUAAAACACAGCCUGGUAGAAAAACUACCAUCUUCAGAGUGCUGAGCCUCCUCACCCAGGCAAAAUGGUAAUUCCAAAUUUAGUCCCUGACAGAUGCUGAGGACACCAAGAUUCAAGACACUGACCCCACACACAAGGACUUUAUGGGGUGCUUAAGGGAGACCAACAAGAGAACAAGAGGGUUGUUGGAAGAUUAAAUGGGGUGAUCUAGGUGGAUAAAGGCCCAAUGAACCCUACAACAUGGCAGGAAUACAGUAAAUUCACUCAGAGUCCUGUACUGCUGCAUCUGUAGACACUUCAUCACCAGCAGACUUAAAACUACUCUCACAGGCAUGAACGUGUUCUCUGCUGCCUUAACUUCUCUGUUAGCUGAGUGGCCUUUGGUCAGUCUGAUCUCCCAUCUGGACCUAGUUGUCUCUUCUACAAAAUGAGGGAAUUGAACUGGAUGAUCUCUAGGUCCCUUCCAGCUUGAAGCUGCAGUAUUGCUGUCUUAUUCAUCUGUGUCCCUACUUUCAUGGUAAUUAGUAUUUGUCAAAUGAAAAAUUAUUGAAAGAAGAUUCAUCAACAGAAGAAAAAAAAUAAAUUAACCAAGCUAAUGACUGACUGACCCUGACAACUAAGAUAAAAAAGUGUGUGUACUUGAAAUGCCUUAAAGGCUCAUACUGACAUACUCCAUUCAGAGACCCACUAAUAAAAAUUCAAAGGUGUGUUCACCCAAAAAUGAUUCUUAUGUAUAAUAUCUGUGCUCCUAAAGGAUAAAUUAUCACUAGCCUAGAUAUUUACCCAACAAAACUAAAAGGUAUGUCCACAUAAAAAUUACAAAGGAUGUAUUUACAUGCAAGUAAGGAAAUAACAGUCAGUGAAACUUGAAAAGUUCUUAGAACUGA
This is a long non-coding RNA of Manis pentadactyla (Chinese pangolin), 1920 nucleotides long. RefSeq lists it as uncharacterized. NCBI's taxonomy places the organism in Eukaryota, Metazoa, Chordata, Mammalia, Pholidota, Manidae. The record is from RefSeq and is a predicted model, not a curated record. The transcript is spliced from 4 exons.